Molecule: ribosomal RNA, 826 nt
Filed under: uncultured Acinetobacter sp.
Lineage: Bacteria; Pseudomonadati; Pseudomonadota; Gammaproteobacteria; Moraxellales; Moraxellaceae
Description: SSU rRNA
Rfam family: Bacterial small subunit ribosomal RNA
Source: RNAcentral
AGGCGGCUUUUUAAGUCGGAUGUGAAAUCCCUGAGCUUAACUUAGGAAUUGCAUUCGAUACUGGGAAGCUAGAGUAUGGGAGAGGAUGGUAGAAUUCCAGGUGUAGCGGUGAAAUGCGUAGAGAUCUGGAGGAAUACCGAUGGCGAAGGCAGCCAUCUGGCCUAAUACUGACGCUGAGGUACGAAAGCAUGGGGAGCAAACAGGAUUAGGUACCCUGGUAGUCCAUGCCGUAAACGAUGUCUACUAGCCGUUGGGGCCUUUGAGGCUUUAGUGGCGCAGCUAACGCGAUAAGUGGACCGCCUGGGGAGUACGGUCGCAAGACUAAAACUCAAAUGAAUUGACGGGGGCCCGCACAAGCGGUGGAGCAUGUGGUUUAAUUCGAUGCAACGCGAAGAACCUUACCUGGUCUUGGCAUAGUAAGAACUUUCCAGAGAUGGAUUGGUGCCUUCGGGAACUUACAUACAGGUGCUGCAUGGCUGUCGUCAGCUCGUGUCGUGAGAUGUUGGGUUAAGUCCCGCAACGAGCGCAACCCUUUUCCUUAUUUGCCAGCGGGUUAAGCCGGGAACUUUAAGGAUACUGCCAGUGACAAACUGGAGGAAGGCGGGGACGACGUCAAGUCAUCAUGGCCCUUACGACCAGGGCUACACACGUGCUACAAUGGUCGGUACAAAGGGUUGCUACCUAGCGAUAGGAUGCUAAUCUCAAAAAGCCGAUCGUAGUCCGGAUUGGAGUCUGCAACUCGACUCCAUGAAGUCGGAAUCGCUAGUAAUCGCGGAUCAGAAUGCCGCGGUGAAUACGUUCCCGGGCCUUGCACUCACCGCCCGUC